CUCUCUGGCUGUAAGACCAGAAACUCUACCCACAUGCUGUUUAAAUCGUCUGUAUGUGAAGGGCAGCCAAUCAGAAGAAAGCGGGCUUGUUUUGGACAGAGGAUGAACUGAGGAGCUGCACCAAAGAAUGUUGUUCCCAGCUUCUGAUGACUGCUUCCAGCAGGAUAACACACCAUGUCACAAAAUCAUCUCAAACUGGUGUCUGGAACAUGACGAAACUGAGGCCCCCACCUGUGUCAUGGAACUGCUCCACCCCUUUUCUCCAAUCUGGGGUUCUCAGGUCCUCAGAUAGAGGCCUUCUCAUGAUCAGAAAAUUAAAAAGGGAUUCUGCCUUCUCUGUAUUUGCUCCUUUGACUCUUGGCAUCCUUUAAAAAGCAGCUCAAAACUCAUCUGUUCAAACAGGCAUUUAAGUGUUUGUAAUUUGUACUGUUAUGUUUGGUUCCUGUCCGUCCACUUUGCCUUUGGCAUGGGCAGAUUUGUAUUUGUUUACCUAUGAAAA
Oreochromis aureus is the source of this 499-nucleotide long non-coding RNA. RefSeq lists it as uncharacterized. The transcript is spliced from 3 exons. The record is from RefSeq and is a predicted model, not a curated record. NCBI's taxonomy places the organism in Eukaryota, Metazoa, Chordata, Actinopteri, Cichliformes, Cichlidae.